AAAAGCAAAUAGCUCUUUCWUCCGRWCUCUUYUKCCYGCUCGCCCSSCCGMCAGGWGKGAUGGAUAUYUUUYKRRRRSACCCUUAGAGUUUGAUCCUGGCUCAGAACGAACGCUGGCGGCGUGCUUAACACAUGCAAGUCGAACGUGAUCCGGAGCUUGCUCUGGUGAAAGUGGCGCACGGGUGAGUAACGCGUGGAUAACCUGCCCUGGUAUCUGGGAUAACAUCUCGAAAGGGGUGCUAAUACCGGAUAAGCCUACGGACUCCUCGGAGUCUGCAGGAAAAGGAGGCCUCUAUUUAUAAGCUUCCGUAUCAUGAUGGGUCCGCGUACCAUUAGCUAGUUGGUGGGGUAAUGGCCCACCAAGGCUACGAUGGUUAGCUGGUCUGAGAGGAUGAUCAGCCACACUGGAACUGAGACACGGUCCAGACUCCUACGGGAGGCAGCAGUGGGGAAUUUUGCGCAAUGGGGGAAACCCUGACGCAGCAACGCCGCGUGAGUGAUGAAGGCUUUCGGGUCGUAAAGCUCUGUCGGAGGGGAAGAAAAGAAAACGGUUAAUACCCGUUUUCCUUGACGGUACCCUCAAAGGAAGCACCGGCUAACUCCGUGCCAGCAGCCGCGGUAAUAC
This 624-nucleotide ribosomal RNA is filed under the name uncultured Geobacteraceae bacterium. RNAcentral describes it as "bacterial SSU rRNA". The stretch from base 78 to 624 matches the Rfam family "Bacterial small subunit ribosomal RNA", at positions 1 to 526 of the family's 1533-position model. Lineage: Bacteria; Pseudomonadati; Thermodesulfobacteriota; Desulfuromonadia; Geobacterales; Geobacteraceae. The record is from RNAcentral.